ACCAAUUUAAGAAUAUAUAUUAUACACCAAUUAACAUAAAAACAUACUAACUAGCUGUUGUAGACAUCCAGAAACAUGCCAAGAGCAAAAGUGAGUGAAAACUAUAACAGAUUAAGGGAUCUGAUAAAACUAAAACAACAACCCCAACUUAGCAAUCCAAAAAAAGAACAUCACACAUGGCCACUUUAAAAUCCCUCAUUUAUCUUCAAUAUCCCAAACCAAAAUCAAACACCCAUUAAAAAAAA
RNAcentral lists this unclassified non-coding RNA (245 nucleotides) under Hevea brasiliensis (rubber tree). Lineage: Eukaryota; Viridiplantae; Streptophyta; Magnoliopsida; Malpighiales; Euphorbiaceae. The record is from RNAcentral.